UGGGGAAUAUUGCGCAAUGGGCGAAAGCCUGACGCAGCGACGCCGCGUGAGGGAUGAAGGUUUUCGGAUCGUAAACCUCUGUCAGAAGGGAAGAAACUACGUUGUGCUAAUCAGCAGCGUACUGACGGUACCUUCAAAGGAAGCACCGGCUAACUCCGUGCCAGCAGCCGCGGUAAUACGGAGGGUGCAAGCGUUAAUCGGAAUUACUGGGCGUAAAGCGCACGGAGGCUGUAGUGUAAGUCAGGGGUGAAAUCCCACGGCGCAAACGUGGAAAUGCCUUUGAUACUGCACAACUUGAAUCCGGGAGAGGGUGGCGGAAUUCCAGGUGUAGGAGUGAAAUCCGUAGAUAUCUGGAGGAACAUCAGUGGCGAAGGCGGCCACCUGGACCGGUAUUGACGCUGAGGUGCGAAAGCGUGGGGAGCAAACAG
RNAcentral lists this ribosomal RNA (428 nucleotides) under uncultured bacterium. RNAcentral describes it as "bacterial SSU rRNA". It matches the Rfam family "Bacterial small subunit ribosomal RNA", at positions 355 to 775 of the family's 1533-position model. The record is from RNAcentral.